This 497-nucleotide ribosomal RNA is filed under the name uncultured bacterium. RNAcentral's name for it is "partial 16S ribosomal RNA". It matches the Rfam family "Bacterial small subunit ribosomal RNA", at positions 28 to 507 of the family's 1533-position model. The record is from RNAcentral.
GAUGAACGCUGGCGGCGUGCCUAAUACAUGCAAGUCGAGCGAACAGACGAGGAGCUUGCUCCUCUGACGUUAGCGGCGGACGGGUGAGUAACACGUGGAUAACCUACCUAUAAGACUGGGAUAACUUCGGGAAACCGGUGCUAAUACCGGAUAAUAUAUUGAACCGCAUGGUUCAAUAGUGAAAGACGGUUUUGCUGUCACUUAUAGAUGGAUCCGCGCCGCAUUAGCUAGUUGGUAAGGUAACGGCUUACCAAGGCAACGAUGCAUAGCCGACCUGAGAGGGUGAUCGGCCACACUGGAACUGAGACACGGUCCAGACUCCUACGGGAGGCAGCAGUAGGGAAUCUUCCGCAAUGGGCGAAAGCCUGACGGAGCAACGCCGCGUGAGUGAUGAAGGUCUUCGGAUCGUAAAACUCUGUUAUUAGGGAAGAACAAAUGUGUAAGUAACUAUGCACGUCUUGACGGUACCUAAUCAGAAAGCCACGGCUAACUACGUG